RNAcentral lists this transfer RNA (71 nucleotides) under Marmota monax (woodchuck). RNAcentral describes it as "tRNA.Ala". It matches the Rfam family "tRNA". Rfam says of the family: Transfer RNA (tRNA) molecules are approximately 80 nucleotides in length. Their secondary structure includes four short double-helical elements and three loops (D, anti-codon, and T loops). The record is from RNAcentral. Lineage: Eukaryota; Metazoa; Chordata; Mammalia; Rodentia; Sciuridae.
GGGGUUGUGGCUUAGGGGUAGAGCGCUUGCCUUGCAUGUGUGAGGCACUGAGUUCCAUCCUCAGCACCACA